This 468-nucleotide ribosomal RNA is filed under the name uncultured bacterium. Its description in RNAcentral is "partial 16S ribosomal RNA". It matches the Rfam family "Bacterial small subunit ribosomal RNA", at positions 28 to 507 of the family's 1533-position model. The record is from RNAcentral.
GACGAACGCUGGCGGCGUGCUUAACACAUGCAAGUCGAACGGAAAGGCCCUGCUUUUGUGGGGUGCUCGAGUGGCGAACGGGUGAGUAACACGUGAGUAACCUGCCCUUGACUUUGGGAUAAAUUCAGGAAACUGGGGCUAAUAUAGGAUAGGAGCUCUUGCUGCAUGGUGGGGGUUGGAAAGUUUCGGCGGUUGGGGAUGGACUCGCGGGUUAUCCGCUUGUUGGUGGGGUAGUGGCUUACCAAGGCUGUGACGGGUAGGCGGCAUGGGAGCGGGACCGGGCACCUGGCGACUGAGGGACGCACCAGACGCCAAUCGGAGGCAGCAGGGGGAAAUAUUGCACAGUGGGCGGAAGCCUGAUGCAGCAACGCCGCGUGCGUGAUGACGUGCUUCGGGGUGUAAACCGCUUUCGCCUGUGACGAAGCGCGAGUGACGGUAAUUGGUAAAGAAGCAACGGCUAACUACGUG